Molecule: ribosomal RNA, 253 nt
Filed under: uncultured bacterium
Lineage: Bacteria
Description: partial 16S ribosomal RNA
Rfam family: Bacterial small subunit ribosomal RNA
Source: RNAcentral
UACAGAGGGGGCAAGCGUUGUUCGGAAUUACUGGGCGUAAAGGGCGCGUAGGCGGCCUUCUAAGUCGAACGUGAAAUCCCUGGGCUCAACCCGGGAACUGCGUCCGAUACUGGAAGGCUUGAAUCCGGGAGAGGGAUGCGGAAUUCCAGGUGUAGCGGUGAAAUGCGUAGAUAUCUGGAGGAACACCGGUGGCGAAGGCGGCAUCCUGGACCGGCAUUGACGCUGAGGCGCGAAAGCCAGGGGAGCAAACGGG